GAUGAACGCUGGCGGCGUGCCUAAUACAUGCAAGUCGAGCGAACAGACGAGGAGCUUGCUCCUCUGACGUUAGCGGCGGACGGGUGAGUAACACGUGGAUAACCUACCUAUAAGACUGGGAUAACUUCGGGAAACCGGAGCUAAUACCGGAUAAUAUAUUGAACCGCAUGGUUCAAUAGUGAAAGACGGUUUUGCUGUCACUUAUAGAUGGAUCCGCGCCGCAUUAGCUAGUUGGUAAGGUAACGGCUUACCAAGGCAACGAUGCGUAGCCGACCUGAGAGGGUGAUCGGCCACACUGGAACUGAGACACGGUCCAGACUCCUACGGGGGGCAGCAGUAGGGAAUCUUCCGCAAUGGGCGAAAGCCUGACGGAGCAACGCCGCGUGAGUGAUGAAGGUCUUCGGAUCGUAAAACUCUGUUAUUAGGGAAGAACAAAUGUGUAAGUAACUAUGCACGCCUUGACGGUACCUAAUCAGAAAGCCACGGCUAACUACGUG
This 497-nucleotide ribosomal RNA is filed under the name uncultured bacterium. RNAcentral's name for it is "partial 16S ribosomal RNA". It matches the Rfam family "Bacterial small subunit ribosomal RNA", at positions 28 to 507 of the family's 1533-position model. The record is from RNAcentral.